RNAcentral lists this ribosomal RNA (944 nucleotides) under Peribacillus frigoritolerans. RNAcentral describes it as "bacterial SSU rRNA". It matches the Rfam family "Bacterial small subunit ribosomal RNA", at positions 545 to 1484 of the family's 1533-position model. The record is from RNAcentral. Lineage: Bacteria; Bacillati; Bacillota; Bacilli; Caryophanales; Bacillaceae.
UCGGCAUUAUUGGGCGUAAGCGCGCGCAGGUGGUUCCUUAAGUCUGAUGUGAAAGCCCACGGCUCAACCGUGGAGGGUCAUUGGAAACUGGGGAACUUGAGUGCAGAAGAGGAAAGUGGAAUUCCAAGUGUAGCGGUGAAAUGCGUAGAGAUUUGGAGGAACACCAGUGGCGAAGGCGACUUUCUGGUCUGUAACUGACACUGAGGCGCGAAAGCGUGGGGAGCAAACAGGAUUAGAUACCCUGGUAGUCCACGCCGUAAACGAUGAGUGCUAAGUGUUAGAGGGUUUCCGCCCUUUAGUGCUGCAGCUAACGCAUUAAGCACUCCGCCUGGGGAGUACGGCCGCAAGGCUGAAACUCAAAGGAAUUGACGGGGGCCCGCACAAGCGGUGGAGCAUGUGGUUUAAUUCGAAGCAACGCGAAGAACCUUACCAGGUCUUGACAUCCUCUGACAACCCUAGAGAUAGGGCUUUCCCCUUCGGGGGACAGAGUGACAGGUGGUGCAUGGUUGUCGUCAGCUCGUGUCGUGAGAUGUUGGGUUAAGUCCCGCAACGAGCGCAACCCUUGAUCUUAGUUGCCAGCAUUCAGUUGGGCACUCUAAGGUGACUGCCGGUGACAAACCGGAGGAAGGUGGGGGAUGACGUCAAAUCAUCAUGCCCCUUAUGACCUGGGCUACACACGUGCUACAAUGGAUGGUACAAAGGGCUGCAAACCUGCGAAGGUAAGCGAAUCCCAUAAAGCCAUUCUCAGUUCGGAUUGCAGGCUGCAACUCGCCUGCAUGAAGCCGGAAUCGCUAGUAAUCGCGGGAUCAGCAUGCGCGGGUGGAAUACGUUCCCGGGCCCUUGUACACACCGCCCGUCACACCACGAGAGUUUGUAACACCCGAAGUCGGUGAGGUAACCUUCAUGGAGCCAGCCGCCUAAGUGGGACAGAUGAUUGGGGUGAG